RNAcentral lists this ribosomal RNA (460 nucleotides) under uncultured bacterium. RNAcentral's name for it is "partial 16S ribosomal RNA". It matches the Rfam family "Bacterial small subunit ribosomal RNA", at positions 338 to 795 of the family's 1533-position model. The record is from RNAcentral.
CCUACGGGCGGCAGCAGUGAGGAAUAUUGGUCAAUGGGCGCGAGCCUGAACCAGCCAAGUAGCGUGAAGGAUGACUGCCCUACGGGUUGUACACUUCUUUUAUCAAAGAAUACAGUGAGGCACGAGUGCCUUUUUGUAUGUACUUUAUGAAUAAGGCUCGGCUCACUCCGUGCCAGCAGCCGCGGUAAUACGGAGGAUCCGAGCGUUCUCCGGAUUUAUUGGGUUUAAAGGGAGCGUAGAUGGGUUCGUAAGUCAGUUGUGAAAGUUUGCGGCUCAACCGUAAGAUUGCAAUUGAUACUGGCAGUCUUGAGUACAGUUGAGGUAGGCGGAAUGCGUGGUGUAGCGGUGAAAUGCUUAGAUAUCACGCAGAACUCCGAUUGCGAAGGCAGCUUACUAAACUGCCACUGACAUUGAUGCUCGAAAGUGUGGGUAUCAAACAGGAUUAGAUACCCGAGUAGUC